Molecule: ribosomal RNA, 466 nt
Filed under: uncultured bacterium
Lineage: Bacteria
Description: partial 16S ribosomal RNA
Rfam family: Bacterial small subunit ribosomal RNA
Source: RNAcentral
GAUGAACGCUGGCGGCGUGCUUAACACAUGCAAGUCGAACGAUGAAGCCCAGCUUGCUGGGUGGAUUAGUGGCGAACGGGUGAGUAACACGUGAGUAACCUGCCCUUAACUCUGGGAUAAGCCUGGGAAACUGGGUCUAAUACCGGAUAGGAGCGUCCACCGCAUGGUGGGUGUUGGAAAGAUUUAUCGGUUUUGGAUGGACUCGCGGCCUAUCAGCUUGUUGGUGAGGUAAUGGCUCACCAAGGCGACGACGGGUAGCCGGCCUGAGAGGGUGACCGGCCACACUGGGACUGAGACACGGCCCAGACUCCUACGGGAGGCAGCAGUGGGGAAUAUUGCACAAUGGGCGCAAGCCUGAUGCAGCGACGCCGCGUGAGGGAUGACGGCCUUCGGGUUGUAAACCUCUUUCAGUAGGGAAGAAGCGAAAGUGACGGUAUCUGCAGAAGAAGCACCGGCUAACUACGUG